GGCAGAAAUGGUUAGUUUUAUUUGAUAAACUCACUAAAUUUAUCAAAAAGAGUUCAGUUUCAAAUGCUUCUUGCUUUUUACUUAUUAUGUGUUUAUUUGUCUUAGGCUACAACUUUGUCCCCAGAAAAACUUGAGGAACUCGGUAGAUACAUCUACUGGAUCAAGGCAAGGCAAGACGAAGAUGGGAAAUUCUUAGAUGUUGUACUGGAGGAAGCAGUUGAACGAAUUGUGAGUAUUUAUAAGACAAUAAGUUAAUUAGAAUUUACACCAUGACAAGGAGGCUGAUUUCAUUGUUAUUAGCAGUUUAAUUUAAAUUUCGACUGGUUGGUGUAGGUGAACCUAUAGAAGAUGGAGGCUGAAGGGAAAUUCAAGUCGCAAGGGACCAAGGAUGUGUUAACUGAAGCAUUGGGUAAUCCGGAGCAUAGAGGUAGGGUUAGAGGGAUUGGUGGAAAUGUGAAGCCUGAGACUUAUUGCGACUUGACAAGGCGACAAAGGGGGAGGAAGAAGGUGUCGGAGGAGGAGAGAAAGAGUCUAUUUGCUAAAGAAUAAGCAAAGUGGGAGGAGGAAAUGAAGAAAAAAAGGCUUAGUGUCACACCCUGGUCUCAGCGUCGGCGGGUUUUAAUCAUUGGACGCUAAUUCCGAGGUGUGAACGAAUGUUAUAAAGCGGAAUAAAACAAAAGCAUUAUCUUCUAGGCUCGUCGGCUACCUUUUCUCGGCUCGAUCAAAUCUAAGUACUUCUCUGCAAAAAAUAUUAAAGAUGGGUGGGUGAGCAUAACCACGCGCUCAGUGAGUAGACUAAUGUAAUAUACCCGUAAAGCCAUGUCAUUUUACACACGCUACAAAAUACGUAUAUCGUAUACAUAUCACAUUAAGCAGUUCAUCACAUCGCACAAUCCCUUCUUAUUGGAUAUCCUUCAAUUUAAUGAUCUCCACAAGAACCUAAUGACCUUCAUGUCCUAUACAUCUGUGUGUCACAUCUUUACUUUAGCAUAACCAAUCAAGAAGUUCACAUGUUCCAUGACUAGUCAAACAAUGGAUCCAACACAUAAUUUUUUAUAAACUCCACAUAUUUCGUAAAUCAACAUGCUUCACUCAAAAACAGAGAGAUAUUUCGUAAAUAGACAAAAUUAUGCUUUUCGACUAUUUUGAUAACAAAUAAGAAUAUUUGAAACAUAUUACACAAAUCCACUCACCACGACAAAACGAAUCCCCACCAAGAACGUCGAUUGUAAACCGAGCCAUCUAAAAAUCACUGUUGGAUCUAGCUCAAACUUCUAGGAUAGGAAGAGGACAUCAAGACGAACCCGUAGCACUUCGCGGAUUCAGAAUCAAAGUUACGGAUCAAAAGUUAUGACCCGUCGAAGUUUAAUCGUAAAUUCUAGGAAGAGAAACUAAUUAAAGAGAGAAAUGAAGAGAGGGAAAAUCUCAUCGAGGAUACUAAAGAAAGCUGAUCAGCUCAGCAUAUAUAUAUACAUAGGUAAGCCGACCUAGAUGGGCGGUUUCAUGCAAUAGAUCAAAGAAAAAGUUGACACUUGUCAACUUCUAAGCUAAACUACACCCAUCAUGUUACACAAGUCAAAAUGACUCAUGGAGAUGAAAGAACACGUUUUGCUGCAGCCUUAGCCAGCAAGUAACAACUUUUGAUCAAUGAGAAGCUGCCACGUCAGCAUCUCAAACCAAUUUCGACGAAAGUUCGACAAAAUUUUGAAAAAUCGUUAAAAAUAGCAUGGGAGUCUGAAAAAUACAGCGAACUCGUGACGACCUCUACUUUCUAUUUCUAAGAAGAAAAUAAUUUUUUUAAGAAAUUUCAAAAAUCGGAAUGUUACAAUCUACCCUCCUAAACAAAAUUUCGUCCCCGAAAUUCACCACACCUCCAAAAACUCGAAAACAAUUAUGGCCUUACGCUAAAACGCUAGAAUCUUAAUCUACCACAGAUCUUGGGGUUCUAAUCCCUAGUUUUCUCUGAUACCAUUCUGUCACACCCUGGUCUCAGCGUCAGAGGGUUUUAAGCAUCGGACGCCGAUUCCGAGACGUGAACUAGUGUUACAAAGCGGAAUAAAACAAAAACAUUAUCUUCUAGGCUCGUCGGCUACCUUUUCUCGGCUCGAUCAAAUCUAAGUACUUCUCUGCCAAAAAUAUUAUAGAUGGGUAGGUGAGCAUAACCACGCACUCAGUGAGUAGACCAAUGUAAUAUACCCGCAAAGCCAUGUCAUUUUACACACGCUACAAAAUACGUAUAUCGUAUACACAUCACAUCAAGCAGUUCAUCACAUCGCACAAUCCCUUCUUAUUGGAUAUCCUUCAAUUUAGUGAUCCCCACGGGAACCUAAUGACCUUCAUUUCCUAUUCCUCCGUGUGUCACAUCUUUACUUCAGCAUAACCAAUCAAGAAGUUCACAUGUUCCAUGACUAGUCAAACAAUGGAUCCAACACAUAAUUAUAUAUAAACUCCACAUAUUUCGCAAAUCGACAUGCUUCACUCGAAAACAGAGAGAUAUUUCGUAAAUAGACAAAAUCAUGCUUUUCGACUAUUUUGAUAACAAAUAAGAAU
This 2550-nucleotide long non-coding RNA is filed under the name Fragaria vesca (wild strawberry). RNAcentral describes it as "long non-coding RNA (FVES_LNC000501)". The record is from RNAcentral. Lineage: Eukaryota; Viridiplantae; Streptophyta; Magnoliopsida; Rosales; Rosaceae.